AGGAGACAAAGGGCUACACUGAGAGCUUAGUGGGAUACUUCAAACAAUACACAGCAUGGGUUAAAAACUCGUUGACGGCAGAGGUUGCCCAGUGCAAACCCAUCAGUAACAUUGUGGACAGCAUGGAGAUAGUAGGAUGCAGCUUCAUAGUCGAUUCAGUGAACACAUUCUGGUUUGGUCUUGGAGGCUGCUGCAUCCUUCUGAUUCCCAGUAUUAUCUUCUCUAUCAAACUGGCCAAGUAUUAUCGAAGAAUGGACACAGAGGACGUCUUCGAAGACACUUCUUACCCGUGGCUUGUUGCACUUUAAUGUUUGUCCGUCAUUCAUGCGUCCUUCCGUCCUCUUCUACGUUCCCACUCCCCUGUUUCAUAUGGGAUACUUGAGCUCUGGAUCUCUGCACAUUUUUCUUACUUUUUGAUCAGAAGUCAAAAGCUCUGUCCCUUCCUCUUCACACAAAUCUUCAUUUCAUCGUCUUCUCCGCCUCUAUUUUUCAACUACAUUUCCAUCUUGAGAGAUGCUUUCUGAGGAUCACUCCAUCCAUGAUGCUUCCAAUGGAGUCCUCACAUUGCUUCUCUCACCUGACCCCCUGCUCUUUUGUUGCAGUCUGGGUAAUACAGGUAAUCAUGGUGAGCAUAUUCGUGAAAUCCAUGGAGAUCUUGCUGUACUCAGCUCUCCCUAUUCUGACACUCUGACCCGGUUCCCCCGGGCAUCUGCUCCACCAAGCUACUCCGACUGGUGAGCCAAAGGAAAUCGUCGAUGAGCGGACAAGACACCUGGAACUGAUAAUUCCCUCUUGAAUCACUGGACUUUCAAACCUUCCUUCUCUGGGAAGAUCAGCAACAAUCAGGAACUGUGUGGUGAGGGCAUCACACCCCCGGCACCCCUCCAAGCCAUUUGACAAGGACCUCUAAUGCCAGCCAAUUGUAAAAUAUCAUGUGUUCUCUCAACCCACCUGAAUGAAGCCCCAGCAGUACACCAGGAGUCCUGUUAGUGUACUCAGUCUGUACAAUAUCUCCCAUCAGUACUAUGUACCUCCAUAGCUAGUUUUUACUGUAUUUGUAGAGAAAACAUUUGUUUGUACUGAUGAGUUUUAACAUGGUGACACAAGUGUACAUUUUUUACAGCUUUCAAAACUUUUGAAAGUUUUAUAUAUUUUUGUUAAUGUUUGUUUUAUAACAUGUUUGAAGCUUUUGUAGUAUUAGCUCUUCUAUUCUUUGUGAAUAAUUGUAAUUUAGCUUGAAUCAUUUCGGUUCCACAGGUUACAUUGAUCAGGGAAUUCAAGGACUGCUAAACAGUUUUGGAAAUACAUUCAUUAGCUUUAUGCCAAGAGUUAGAUGAGAAGAUGCACCUCUGAUAUCUUUUUAUGAAUUGCAAAUAGCAGGUUAGCCUAAAUUCAAAUAUGGUAUAAAAAAAACAAACAGCCUAUAGCCAUGAUAGCAUUUGUGCUUCUAUCUUUAUGCUACUAUCAGCAUGCUAAAAGCAUCAGAAUAACAGUGCUAACAUGAUUAUGUUUAGCAUCCAUUGUGUUUCUCCAAUGCACCAUCUUAUCUUAACUAAACAGAAUAAGAUGGGCAGUGACCCUUUAUCUGAUAAUUAUCCAACAGUGUGCAUUCAUGUUUUUUGGGGGGAUUGACUUAGUCAUUUUUUGAAUGGAUACUUUCAAAUGUUGCUUACUCUUGCUGUUUUUUUCCAAAGUUGCCUACCAGAGCUUUAAACACACAAGAUAAAAUGAAUUAGAAGUUUUCUGUUAAGGUGCUUGUAUGUGUAUUUUGUUUCCUUUGUUCAGAGCUAGGCAAGCCAUGUAACCAUUUUCAGUCUUUGUGCUGUGCUCAGCUAUGCUAAGCUAAAGGCCUCUUGGCUGUUGCUUUUUUAUCUUCUCAGCUAACUCUCAGAAUAAAGCCAAAAGAAAAAACAUUUCAUUUUAACUUCAAACUUUCAUGAGGAAAGUGGCACUCUAAAUUAUUGAACAAUAUCGCUCGCAAUUCAACAUAGCACAUAAGCUCCACACACAAACCCUCACAGGGAAUUAAGACAGCUAACAAACAAAAUACUGUGUCUUAGGCAUCUCUGGCCACAACAUGAGUGACAGCCCAGUCUAUAAUGUUGUGGCUAGAGAUGCUUGUGUUUACAGAGUUUGUUUUGUUUUUCUUUGCCAUACUGUGGUUUAAGAAAUUAAACACCAAGAACCUCCAUGAUGACAGUGACCUGUUAAAGGAAAAAAAAACACUUAAAAAGUGACUGAACAGCUGGAGUUUGUAAGGAAAGCAAUAAUCAG
Labrus bergylta (ballan wrasse) is the source of this 2274-nucleotide non-coding RNA. Lineage: Eukaryota; Metazoa; Chordata; Actinopteri; Labriformes; Labridae. The record is from RefSeq and is a predicted model, not a curated record.